GUGCUGCUUUGGCUCUUACUGCUGCCACCACUGCCACUGCUACUGCUGAGGCCCCGGUUGUUGUUGGCUUUGUCACUUGUUUUAUUCUCUGCCCCUUCUGCCCUGUCUCCUAUAGAAAUACAAGGAUUAUCAAAAGUGAGUAUUGACAAUUCUGCCCUGUCUCCUAUAGAAAUACAAAGAUUAUCAAAAGUGAGUAUUGACAAUUCUAAGUCACUUGAGCUCAAACCAGUCAGCUAACUCAGCCCUGUAGAAGUCCCACUGUUACCUACCGUGCCUAUCAGAGAGGUUCUCAGUACAUAAUCAUUUACUGCUUUUAUUCCUUGUGAUGUUUUAUAUAUUCCUUAGCUAUAGAGAUGAAAUUUGCCAUAUUCACUUUAUUGCUGAGAAACAAACCUCUCUACUAUGUGCUUGCCAAGGAGACUGUUCUGAUGUGAGACAUAGGACCUAAGCUCUACUUUAUAGAAGCUGAGUGGAGCCAGGAGCCCCCCCAGAACAGCACUUGGAAACAACCUCAGUGAUCAAUACUGACAGCACAACCACAGAGACCUGGUAAUGCAGCAUGGGGGCCCUGAGACCUGGCAGAGGUAUGGAAUGGCACAACAGUCAGGCUACAGAGGCAGUGUGGCAUCUGGGACGGGGUGAGAAGGCUGCUACUCACCUCGUUCUACUUCACAUUCAGGGGAGGAGGCCCCGCUGCAUUCACUUCGAGGGCCCAACACUGGGAACAUCAUCCCAAACUCUGACAGGGACACAGGGCUGGGCAGAUCCAGGCUGCCAGGCCUCACAACCGCAGGGAACUGGUCAGGCAUCUCAGACGGGCUUGUUGGUCCUGAACUAAAGCUGGACACGGACUGGGUUUCCGAGUCAUCUUCAGACACAAAGUUGCUACAGCUGUCAUCUUCAAAGGCCUCCGAGGCCACUAAGUUGAGAGAGAACACCAGUCACAUGGGUUCUGUCACCUCCUCAAACACCACAAGUGCUUGCUGCUGGCAGGCAGCUAGACACAGCAUGGGGGACUAAAGAGUCUCUACCUCUGUGAGUGCCUAAUGAAGGAAUGUGACUUCCCAAGCCUGAAUGACCAGCCUCUAAAGCAGCUGGAAGGGAAGCAGCUGGCAGCAGGAUCCCAUGGAUAUUAAGCGCCCUUCCAAUAACCUUAUAACCCUGCCAAGAAAUCAGUGUCACCAGACACCACCUAAAAAUGGAAGAUUAAUUCAGCCACAAAUUAGGACCUUUACUCCACCUCAGUCCCCCAAAUACAUCCUCAUGUGCACAGGAAGAGGUUCUAGUCCUCUGUAACAUAUCCCAAACAAAGCCAGCUGGACUCAGGCUUCUUUCUUAGGGCAAUAGAAGCAAGAGCUGCUAGAAGAAACAGGCCAGCAUGGAACAUCUGUUGGGACCUUUGUUAUCUCCAGGUAACUUCUGAUCUCAUAAAGAACACACUCAAAGGCUACCCACAUCACCAUUUGCUGCAAAAGAACAGAAAUCCUUUACAAUGCUCUGUAGCCACAUUAUUUGGUAGACCAAAGUAACAAGGCCCAGACACAUGUUAUUCCCAUGGUUUCAAAGCCUCUUUGGCCUUUAGCGGUUUUCCCUCAGCCUGCCCACAAUCCCACUCCUUAUUAGAACUUUCCUACUCCAUUUUUCCCCCCCUUUCUCUUUAAAAACAGCCUUGUAGCAUUCCAUAAAGGUUUCUUAUAAAUGAUAAAUACUGUAAUGUUGGGGACAGAAAAUGGGCUCAGACCUGAAUUGAAUCCCUAACUCCACUACUUGCUGUGUGACCUUGGUCAAGUUACUUUACCUCUGUAAGCUUCAUGAUCCUCUCCAUGCAGGGUUUGAGAUGAUGUAUAUAUUAAAGUACCUCAUACAUAGUAGUUGUUCAAAUGAUAGUUUCCUUUUCCUUUACCUUGAACCUAGUACUUAAAUAUUUGUUGAAGGAAUUAACUCCUGAGGAAGGAGCUUGGGAAAGAGCCGACAGGGAUUAUUGCACAGGACUUCUCAGCCUUGAAUGUUCAAAUGUAUACUUUGACUCUCAAAGAGGAGUGAAGGUGUAACAUUUUCCCAAUUUAUUUGACCACAGAAUCCUGACUUUGAGGAACACUUAGUACCUUCUUAAUGAACACAGUGUUCCAUAAAACAUGGGAACCCACCAGAAAUAGCCCUCAGGCCUGCCCAACUCUGAGACCUUUCACUGAUGGCCAGAGAAAGUGAGGACCUUGGGAAACAAAUCACACAGUCUGAUAUCUCCCCACAUACCCAGUGGAGCCCCUGACUUACCAGAAAUGGCAUCAGGCUCAGGUUUGCUCCCUGGCAGAUCCUCCACAGAUGUGCUGCUGCCCUCAGCACCAACACCGCAUCCCCGAGGCCCCAUGGCACUGGAGCGCCGCCGCUCGUGGAUCUCAUCUGAGAUCAUCUCCAGGUUCUUCAGGGCCAUCUUGUACUCGCCUUUUGCCAGGGUCAGUUUGGCCUGCAGGUCAUCCACAGUCUUUUUCAGUUGCUGAUCAAGAGAACAGGAGACUAAGUGAAGACUACCCUGCUAGCCUUAAGAUGCUUUCUGAAUGACAGGUUCAAGUACAUUUUCUGCCCAUCAUUCUACUUCAAGGAAUUUUCCAAGACAUGACUGAAGACCUAAUUACCAUUGUAACUGCUAUUCAUUCACCAGACAAAAUCAGCCACCACCAUCCCCAGAUCCCAUCCAGGUGACAACCUCUAAUAUCCAAAAACUCUCACUGGUGGAACAAACCCCAUCAGGGAAGCAAAAAUGGGCAUCAGACACACCAAAGUCCCACAGUCUAGACAUCUGGUUCCCAGUACAGUGGUUCUCAAAGUUGAGCUUGCAUCAAAAUCCCCUUGGGUGUUAAGACUCAGCUCACUAGACUCCAACCUCAGAGUUUCUAAUUCAGUCGGUCUAGAGUGGGACCUGGUCUAUCAGGUCUCCAGGUGAUGCUGAUGCUGCUGGUCCUAAGAGCAUGCUGUGAGAACCACUGGCCUAGUACAACAGAGAAGGUGACUGAAUGGCAGUUACAGAGGUUCAGAGACCACUGAAGACCCAACCGAGACAAUUUUGAGGUCUGAAAACUCAGUAAAGCCUGUCUCUCCACUUUCCCCUUAUAGCAAGUGGCCCAUGUGAUACUCUGCUACCCCAGAAAAGUGAAGCUUUGAGUGCAGAAAAAUCUCAUCAGUGACGAAGCCCAAAGCUACACAUACCUCGAGCUGCACAUAGUACUUUGCCUUGAGUUCAAAAUAAGGCCUGCAGAAGACAGGAAGGAAAGCCAUCAGAGUAAUAUAAUACAGUGACCACAGUCAACUCCACAAGAUGAACAAGAGGCAUCAGCUACCACUGGCCAGGUCGUCCUUCCAAUAUUUAGUAAACUCUUAACAAGGCCGUGACAUGUCAGUGAUGCUCCUAGCUCUGGAGACUGACAGACACCAGAUGGAACGACUGGGCUCACCCAGGGCUAUAUUAACAGGAGGCCCAUCUCAAGACACGGGGAACCCACACACACAUAUCUUGGGGACUCUGCAACUUAGCUCAUGUUCCUCCUCUGUGGGAAGGCUGUUCAGAGCCUCACAGGUUAUACCCAGCAGUAAGGGUGGCCUGGAUCUGCUCUCCUAAUGAAGUUGGCUCCCCAGGGAUGAAGAGCAGCUGAGGCUGGAGAAGGGGCUGCUUAAACCUCCUCCUCUACUGAAGUCAACUGGGGAAGAGAGAGAAGCACCACUCCUCCCUCACAGCACAGCAAGGCCACCACUAGGAGGGGGUCUCAGGUUGGUCCUCCCAAACCUUGUCCAAAGACUGGAGUUAUUAGUUGGCUGACUCAGCCACAUAAUGGGCCCAAGAAAUGCCAGCGUCCUAGCAGUUCCCUUGGUUCUGGGUCAGCUGAAAGAGCUUGGCUCUUUUUUAGGAACUUUGGUGCCUGAACAUUAAGAGUAGAUCACUGCUUUAUUCUUGAGCUGUUCACCCUCCAUGAAGCUCUCAAGUCCUGCAUCCUGAGGAUCCAGAUGGAUGACAAGGACACAGGACUGCCAUUGAGAAAUGAAGAUGAACUGUGUCACAGAUGCAGUGGAUUACUGACUGCCCUUGUAAUAGUCCAUUUUGCAUCUGUUGGUAAUUCAUUGAGGCACUCUUGGUUUUCUAUGAGUUUGUAUUUUUUGAAUUCAAGAAUUGUAACAUCACUGUUAGAUCCCUCCUUAUUUAAUGAGAGAAAUAAAAUAUUUGACACGAGAAAAUUUUAUAUUUGUAUCCCAAUUAUGCUUUUACCUUCUUAAAAAUAUCUUUUAACAAAGGCUUCAGUGCUUCAGAUAAUUUUUAAAAACAGAAAAACAACAAAAUCAGAGAAGAAAAAUAGGAGAGAACUGAGCUAAGCUGGCACGAGGAGACAUGCUUGCUCACAUGACUUCUCAACCAAGACCAAAGGGCUAAGAGAAUCCUUUCCCUUUGCUUCCAAAACCAGAUAUUUCACAAGGAAACAAAAUGCACUAAAAAUAUCUCAUGCUUGAUACUUGGGGAAACAGCAGUAAAUCUUAAGCUUUAAGGAUUUACUGGUAUAACCUUUAUGAAAACUCAAACCUUCAGGUUCAUCAAAGACAACAUGUUGGGGGUGAUUGUUUUAUUACAAAAAGAUCCAAUUAAAGGUUUACCUUUAAGGAGCUGUCAGAAUGCAUUUUCAACAGACUUGUAGAACCUGUAAUUUGAGGGUCCUGUACAGAAAGAGUCCCCUGUAAGAAGCAGGAUUCUCACCAUCUGCACACAGGCCCUCAUUCUAUCUUGGCCUCUAGGCUGCAAGCAGAAGCACAGGCUUUCUACAAUAAAACACUUGGAAAGCUCCGAGCCCAUGGCAAUACUGGCAGUGAAAACUGA
This 4855-nucleotide long non-coding RNA is filed under the name Homo sapiens (human). RNAcentral's name for it is "HSALNT0051403". The record is from RNAcentral. Lineage: Eukaryota; Metazoa; Chordata; Mammalia; Primates; Hominidae.